RNAcentral lists this ribosomal RNA (688 nucleotides) under uncultured bacterium. RNAcentral describes it as "bacterial SSU rRNA". It matches the Rfam family "Bacterial small subunit ribosomal RNA", at positions 743 to 1424 of the family's 1533-position model. The record is from RNAcentral.
ACGCUGAGGCACGAAAGCCAGGGGAGCAAACGGGAUUAGAUACCCCGGUAGUCCUGGCCCUAAACGGUGCGCAUUUGCUGUGAGCGGAAUCGACCCCGUUCGUGGCGAAGCUAACGCGUUAAAUGCGCCGCCUGGGAAGUACGGCCGCAAGGUUAAAACUCAAAGAAAUUGACGGGGGCCUGCACAAGCGGUGGAGUAUGUGGCUUAAUUCGAUGCAACGCGAAGAACCUUACCUGGCCUUGACAUGCAAGUAGUAGAAGCCUGAAAGGGUGACGAUCCCGCAAGGGAAGCUUGCACAGGUGCUGCAUGGCUGUCGUCAGCUCGUGUCGUGAGAUGUUGGGUUAAGUCCCGCAACGAACGCAACCCCUGUGUCCUGUUGCCACCCCUUAACCGGGAGCACUCUGGACAGACUGCCUCGCUUCAACGAGGAGGAAGGUGGGGAUGACGUCAAGUCAGUAUGGCCCUUACGGCCAGGGCUGCACACGUACUACAAUGCCCGGCACAAAGGGAAGCAAGAGCGUAAGCUGGAGCAAAUCCCCCAAAACCGGGCCCAGUUCAGAUUGUCGUCUGCAACUCGACGACAUGAAGCUGGAAUCGCUAGUAAUGGCGCAUCAGCUACGGCGCCGUGAAUACGUUCCCAGGCCUUGUACACACCGCCCGUCACAUCAUGAAAGCCGGUUGCACCCGA